Molecule: ribosomal RNA, 489 nt
Filed under: Triticum aestivum (bread wheat)
Lineage: Eukaryota; Viridiplantae; Streptophyta; Magnoliopsida; Poales; Poaceae
Description: partial small subunit ribosomal RNA
Source: RNAcentral
AUGAAAUGGUGCAGACCUCCUAGGGGUUUCGUUAAAUUGAAUGUGGAUGCUUCUUUUGAUCAUGAUCAGCUAAGAGGCACAGCGGGUGCUGUUACCAGAGAUGACAAAGGAAACUUCAUAGUAGGUGGUAACUGGAGGAUUCAGUACUAUGCGGAUGCCCUGACAGCAGAGGCGGUAGCACUCAGAUUUGGUUUACUGUUGGCACAAAAAACGGGCUGCAAUUGUCUAAUCAUCAAUUCUGAUAAUAUGGAGGUCAUCGACACAAUGAAGAACGGAGGAUAGUCCGCGGGACCGGCUGCUGCAAUGAUUGCUUUUUAUGGCCUGUAAUUUCCUCAAACCAGUUUUGAACAUUGUAACAGGGAAGCGAAUAAAGUAGCUCAUGAGCUUGCUAGAUUAGCAAAAGGUUUCAUGACUAGGGAUUGGAGAGAGGAGCCCAUGGAAGAUCUUGUAACUCUCUUGAUAGACGAUGUAACAAUUAUUUCUAAUUAA